UUAAAGGCAGUGCUUUAAGGCCUGACUUUUAAGUCAUGAGGUUCAUCUUUUCAUACGCAAUCCAUGCUGGGGGUCUUUUGGCCAGAAAUAGAUCCGGAAAUGUUCGAAUUUCUCCUCUUCUUUUUAUGGUAUGAUAUGGUUUUUGUUUCUUUCAUUUACAUUGGGGACUAAAGAAACGAUCAGUGUGUAUUGUUCGUUUUAUAGAACUUGUUAUAAGUGUGUAUUUUGCAUUAUAAGCAGUCAACCUGACUACAAACUAUCAUUAUUUGUAUAUUCCGUGUGGAAAGAGGUCGGGUCAAUUUCAAGUGUUAUCUGACAUCUAAAGAUUCUUUAAUUCGUUCAGACGUUGAUAUAACAAUGAAAAGUCGACUGAACAUGAUUAAUAUUGCAUCUUCUAUUAUUCAAAGCGGAAUUGGGUUUAUGAACGAGAAACCGUAAAGCGUUUUCAAUUUCGGUAUUAGUUAUGUAUGUUAUCUACGUAUUAUCAUGGUUCCCGGUACUACGUUCCGGGUAUUAGCUAUUUGAUAUAUUUAAUGUGUAACAUUACAAUCGGGUACCAGCCAAUCUACGUGUGUAUGUGUACAUGAUUUACCGCCAAAAUGACCGACUUAAAAAAUAGUCCAUAAACGUUCCGUAUAAUGAUAUGCAAAUUCAUAAUUAAUCGUAACCUUUUUUUAUCUUUGGAUAAUUAAUAUAACAAAAUGGAUUCCACAAAAUUGAAAAUAGCAUUAUUUUACGAGGAUUUCUCAUAUUUUUUUCACUUCCGGCGCAGUAAUACGUAUGUUUUGAAGAAGCUCGAAGAAUUUGACAAAGUGAAUUGAGAAGGAAACGGAUAGAUAUACGUUCUUGCUAUCAGGGCACAAACCCACAUUAAAGAGACUUGUCUACUGUCAUACCCAUCCUAUUUUCAUGCACCAUUUGCAAGCAAGAGACUGAAUGGUUUGCAAAAUUAAAAAUCAGGACGGUGUCCAAUUAAAACAAAAGAACUAAACUGGAUGAAUAUUGUAGGAGAAAUCUAGACAUGCUAGAGGAAAGUUUUGAUUUUUGAAAUUGGUUUUCCUGAAAAGUCAUUCAUCCUAGCCUGCAGAAAGGAACUCUAACUGUCCACCACCAACUGACGAGCUAAUGUUGAGCUUCACAUAUGGAAUUACUCAAAUACCAUCAAUGUCUAUGUUUUCAGCACAAAUUUCACAAUUUAUGACACAGCUGUGCUUUUUUUAUACCGUUAAAGAGUUGUAUACUAAAUUUUAUUUUUUUAUCAAUAAAUAUAUAUUAUAUUAAUUGUGUCAUCUUAGAACAAAGUCUUGUAUUUUGCCAAAAGAUGCAUACUAGUGAAUGAAAGUGGUGCAGUUCAUUUUGCUUUGGUACAUGUAUAUAGAAUUGAAUUACAAUUGUUCAUGUUAUUGGAAUGCAUAUAAAAAUAAGGAGAUGUGGUACAAUGUAUAUGAUAUUUAGUGAGUUUAUCAAGCAAAAGUGAAUAAGAAAUAGGUAUAAGCAGUUACAGGUACUACUGUACAAUCUGAAACAAGGAGAAAAACUCAUACCGUAAAGAGAAUUUCAUAUUUACAAGUAAGUUUUGUUUUUGCGUUGAAUAAUUUUCUUCUAUUGUUUUAAUUGCAAAUAUGGGAAGUGGUUAAAAUGCUAAUGAGACAGCUGUUAUGGCCACAGAGCCUUAAUUGAAAACUUCUUUUUCAUUCAUACCGGUAGAUUUUGCCUGGAGUAAGAAACAUAUCUGCCAACUUUUCAAAAUGCACAUGGGGGUUUUACGUGAAAGAUGGUUUAUAUAGUCAUACAAAACCUUCAAGGGGGCCUUCAAAUGGAAGCAGGACAAGUCCCCCCACUGGCUAAUCUGCCCACUUUUUAAAAAAACACCACAAACUGAUUUAUCAAAUCACCCCACAUGUGAAAUUGGUUAAAUCAUGUUUAAUAUUACUCCUGCCAACUCGCCCCACAUGUGAAAUUGGUUAAAUCAUUUUAAAUCAGGGUUCUCACUAAGGAUUUUUGAAGGCGAGUCCAGGGACUCGUCAUUUUUGGCCACGGUGAGUCAUGGUAACUGUGUUCAGUUUAUACAAAAUAUUUCAAUAUUGAUGUAUUUGUGGACUCACCAGUUUUGAAAAUGGUGAGUCCAGACAGAUUUUGUUGAGUCCAGGACUCAUAUACUCGCCUUAGCGAGAACCCUGUUUAAUAUUACUCCUGCCAACUCGCCCUACUUAUAAAAAAACGGUAAUUUUUAGAUUAAUAUAUAUAUAUAUAUAUAAUUAAAAAUUAAAACUCGCACCACUUUAAUGAAAACUAAUCUACACAGAAUACAAACAAACCGAAAAUUAAUUUAAUUACUAUUAUUGAUAUAUACUGAAGAAUAAAUGUAAGUUUUGAAGCUUAGUUAUUUGCAUAACAAUUGAAAAGAAACCUGUUAAUUGUAUCAUAAUGCAAUAUAAGGAAUUGAACUUAUAUUCAAUGGGAUAACAUCUUUUUCCAUACGUGGGGCGAGUUGGCAUUACUAAAUUCAUCCUGGUUAAUAAUAUAUUUAUCUAGAUUUCAUCGAUUUCCAUUAGGUGGGACCAGUUGGCAAGAGUUAUAUUAACAGAAUUUAACUUAUAUACAAUGGGAUAACAUCUUUUUACAUAAGUGGGGCGAGUUGGCAUUACUAAAUUCUUCCUGGUUAAUAAUAUAUUUAUCUAGAUAUUAUCGUUUUCUAUUAGGUGGGGCGAGUUGGCAGGAGUAAUAUUAACGGGAUUUAACACAGUUCACAAGUGGGGCGAUUUGGUAAUCCAGGUUGGGGCAGGUUUUUUUUUAAAGUGGGGCGAGUUAGUGAAAAAGUGGGGCUAUUUGCUAAUGGGGCGAUUGUCAUGGAUUCCCUUCAAAUAUAUUCUAAUGUGGUUUUUGGCUUCUUCUUGCAUUAACAAGCUUAUAGCCAUUGUUGAAUUAAUUGUUUUCUUUAAAUAGUCGACAAAAUUGCUCUUACAAAAUUUCCAUUUGGGAGCCUCGAGCUCGAUGGGGGAAAUACUCUGCAAAUACUGACAGUUGGCAGGUAUGGUCAUCAAAAAAGUUGACAUGUUACUAUGUACAUUUACCAUUAUGUUACUUGAUGUUCUUGCUAUACACACAGUACAGAGACUAGUCAAUCUUUGUGAACUAUUUUUUUAUGGGAGUCAUAGAAUAUGCGUAUACAAUCAAUAAUUAAAAAUAGUCUAUUUAUAUUGAAAAGGAAAAGUUCU
Long non-coding RNA from Mytilus trossulus (common blue mussel), 3218 nucleotides. RefSeq lists it as uncharacterized. The record is from RefSeq and is a predicted model, not a curated record. Lineage: Eukaryota; Metazoa; Mollusca; Bivalvia; Mytilida; Mytilidae. The transcript has 2 exons.